UAGGGAAUCUUCGGCAAUGGACGAAAGUCUGACCGAGCAACGCCGCGUGAGUGAAGAAGGUUUUCGGAUCGUAAAACUCUGUUGUUAGAGAAGAACAAGGACGUUAGUAACUGAACGUCCCCUGACGGUAUCUAACCAGAAAGCCACGGCUAACUACGUGCCAGCAGCCGCGGUAAUACGUAGGUGGCAAGCGUUGUCCGGAUUUAUUGGGCGUAAAGCGAGCGCAGGCGGUUUCUUAAGUCUGAUGUGAAAGCCCCCGGCUCAACCGGGGAGGGUCAUUGGAAACUGGGAGACUUGGGUGCAGAAGAGGAGAGUGGAAUUCCAUGUGUAGCGGUGAAAUGCGUAGAUAUAUUGAGGAACACCAGUGGCGAAGGCGGCUCUCUGGUCUGUAACUGACGCUGAGGCUCGAAAGCGUGGGGAGCAAACAGG
This 429-nucleotide ribosomal RNA is filed under the name Gemmatimonadota bacterium. Its description in RNAcentral is "Gemmatimonadetes bacterium partial 16S ribosomal RNA". It matches the Rfam family "Bacterial small subunit ribosomal RNA", at positions 355 to 776 of the family's 1533-position model. Lineage: Bacteria; Pseudomonadati; Gemmatimonadota. The record is from RNAcentral.